ACCUCAAGUCAAGUAAGAGUACCCGCUGAACUUAAGCAUAUCAAUAAGCGGAGGAAAAGAAACUAACAAGGAUUUCCUUAGUAACGGCGAGUGAAGUGGKAAAAGCUCAAAUUUUAAAUCACCAAGGUUUCUUUGGUGAAUUGUAAUUUGAAGAAAGUCGUUUUGAUAUUCGGGUUUUUAUCCAAGUCCUUUGGGAUAAGGUAUCAUAGAGGGUGAGAAUCCCGUUCAUGAUUAAACCUUGAUGUCACUUAAUUCACUUUCUAAGAGUCGAGUUGUUUGGGAUUGCAGCUCAAAAUGGGUGGUAAAUUUCACCUAAGGCUAAAUAUAUGCAAGAGACCGAUAGCGAACAAGUACCGUGAGGGAAAGAUGAAAAGAACUUUGAAAAGAGAGUUAAAUAGUACGUGAAAUUGUUGAAAGGGAAACGAUUGAAGUCAGUCAUGNUAGUAGGGAAUCAACUUGAUGGAUCGUAGGACUUAUCUUAUGAUCUUUCUUGUGCAUUUUCUUGCUUGGCAGGUUAGCAUCAAUUUCGGGUAUCAUUAAAAAAUCGAGGGAAUGUAGCUUUCUUUCGGGAAAGUGUUAUAGACCUUGAUAAAAUGUGGUGACCGAGAUUGAGGAUUGCAGCGGAUACCUUUUAAGGCUAGUCACCUUGCUUCUGACGGUUACCCUGCUUUCGAGAGCUUGCUCACGAUUGUGGGAUUCAACAGUCUAGAUGUUAGAGUGAUCUUAAAUUCGCUAAGGAUGCUGACGUAAUGGCUUUAAACGACCCGUCUUGAAACACGGACCAAGGAGUCUAANAUUUAUNCNNGUGUUU
RNAcentral lists this ribosomal RNA (811 nucleotides) under Acaulospora kentinensis. RNAcentral's name for it is "eukaryotic LSU rRNA". It matches the Rfam family "Eukaryotic large subunit ribosomal RNA", at positions 1 to 695 of the family's 3401-position model. Lineage: Eukaryota; Fungi; Glomeromycota; Glomeromycetes; Diversisporales; Acaulosporaceae. The record is from RNAcentral.